GGCCAGGUAGCUCAGUUGGUAGAGCACCGCACUGAAAAUGCGGGUGUCGACAGUUCGAUUCUGUCCCUGGCCA
This 73-nucleotide transfer RNA is filed under the name Gemmatimonadales bacterium. RNAcentral describes it as "tRNA-Phe". It matches the Rfam family "tRNA". From Rfam's summary of the family: Transfer RNA (tRNA) molecules are approximately 80 nucleotides in length. Their secondary structure includes four short double-helical elements and three loops (D, anti-codon, and T loops). Further hydrogen bonds mediate the characteristic L-shaped molecular structure. tRNAs have two regions of fundamental functional importance: the anti-codon, which is responsible for specific mRNA codon recognition, and the 3' end, to which the tRNAs corresponding amino acid is attached (by aminoacyl-tRNA synthetases). tRNAs cope with the degeneracy of the genetic code in two manners: having more than one tRNA (with a specific anti-codon) for a particular amino acid; and 'wobble' base-pairing, i.e. permitting non-standard base-pairing at the 3rd anti-codon position. The record is from RNAcentral. Lineage: Bacteria; Pseudomonadati; Gemmatimonadota; Gemmatimonadia; Gemmatimonadales.